UACGUAGGCAGCGAGCGUUGUUCGGAGUUACUGGGCGUAAAGAGUGCGUAGGUGGCCAACUAAGUCAGACGUGAAAUCCCUCAGCUUAACUGGGGAACUGCGUCUGAUACUGGAUGGCUUGAGUUUGGGAGAGGGAUGCGGAAUUCCAGGUGUAGCGGUGAAAUGCGUAGAUAUCUGGAGGAACACCGGUGGCGAAGGCGGCAUCCUGGACCAACACUGACACUGAUGAGCGAAAGCCAGGGGAGCAAACGGG
This 253-nucleotide ribosomal RNA is filed under the name uncultured bacterium. Its description in RNAcentral is "partial 16S ribosomal RNA". It matches the Rfam family "Bacterial small subunit ribosomal RNA", at positions 524 to 776 of the family's 1533-position model. The record is from RNAcentral.